AGGGUGGGACUAGUGACAGAGAGAGGGAAGGGGUGACUAGUGACAGAGUGAGGGAGGGAGUGGGUGACUAGUGACAGAGUGAGGAAGGGAGUGACACAAUGACAGAGUGAGGGAGGGGGUGACUAGUGACAGUGCGAAGGAGGUGGUGACUGUCACUAGUCACCCCAUCCCUCCCUCUGUCUCUAAUCACAACCUCCCUCACUCUGUCACUAGUCACCCCCUCCCUCUCUCUGUCACUAGUCACACCCUCCCUCAUUCUGUCACUAGUCACCCCCUCCCUCUCUCUGUCACUAGUCACACCGUCCCU
Molecule: non-coding RNA, 307 nt
Organism: Pelobates cultripes (western spadefoot toad)
Lineage: Eukaryota; Metazoa; Chordata; Amphibia; Anura; Pelobatidae
Source: the annotation of a GenBank genome assembly